AGGUUAUCAGCGCGUGUCUCCACGCUGGCCGGCCGUUAAUUGGCCAAUCCGCGUGACAUCGCGAUCCGGGCCCGAUAGCGGGGCAGUGGACCGUUGCGCGGCUGUGCCUGGGCCGGUCCGCUAUGUCCGCCCGAUGAGUCUAGAUCUGGAGAGGAAAAUUUGUGAAAAAAGACCAAGUCAGAUCCUCAAAAAGAACUGCAAUGGCUCAGAGAAGGGCAACGCAACAGUCUACAUCACUGUAGGCGGAUGGCACAAUGCUUACAUUAGGAGCUUGGAUGGUGAAUAUCUAAGUUGCACCAACUGGACUACAUCAAAAAGCUGAGACUUCUAUGAAAAAUCAAGUAAUUGCAUUGGAGUGGUAUGACUGUAACAUUUCUUAUUUAAAAUUUCCUUCUCCCUUUCCUAGUUUCACAAACUAUAUCACUAGACCACAUUGUUAUCUUUAUCAAAUGGAACACGCUUUUGUUACCUUAAGACACAACUAUUCCAAUGCCGCUCUGAUCAGCCUCUCAUCUUCCAUCCUUUGUAAACUUAAGUUCAACAAAAUCUUGUUGUCUGUGUGCUAAUUUGCACCAGGGCUCAAUCACCCAUCAUCCACAUGCACUGGGUCCUCAUCCAGCAAUGCCUCGAUUUUAAAAUUCUCAACCUUGUACUCAAAUCCCUCCCUCCCUCUAACUUCCUCGAACCCUACAAUGCUCCAAUUGUGGUCACUAGUGUAUCCCCAAUUGUUGUUUCACCAUUAGUGGCUUUGCCUCCAGCCUUCUAGACCAUAAGACCUGGAAUUCCCUCCCUAAAUAUCACCACUUCUCUAUCCCUCUUCCUUUAAGAUGCUCCUUAAAAUCUACCUCUUUGGCAAAGAAUAUGGUCAUCUGUCCGAAUGUCUCCUGCUUUGGCUCAGUGGAAUUUUUGUUUGAUUAUGCUCCUGUGAAGCACUUUGGAAUUCUUUACUGUUAAAAAUGCUAGAUAAAUGCAAGUUGCAAUAAUUGUGAUAAAACAGAGUUCUGAUGCAAUGACCCAUUAUAUUUUUUCUAUAGUACAUUAAAGAGACAGGGCACGUGAAUUCAAUUUUGGCUUCAGAUGCCUAUAACUGGGAAAGAGCUCCUUUGUCUCUGAUCAGGGUUAAAACACAAAAAUGUGCUGAUACAUCUGUAUUUUCAGGCAAAGGCGCUUGAUACCACUGUCAGCCAGAGUCCAGAAUUUCUGUUCUAGAUGAUGAGCUAAUUUAAAAAAUCUCUUGAAAGACAA
This is a long non-coding RNA of Carcharodon carcharias (great white shark), 1245 nucleotides long. RefSeq lists it as uncharacterized. The transcript has 3 exons. Lineage: Eukaryota; Metazoa; Chordata; Chondrichthyes; Lamniformes; Lamnidae. The record is from RefSeq and is a predicted model, not a curated record.